This 484-nucleotide ribosomal RNA is filed under the name Pseudomonas sp. CE6. Its description in RNAcentral is "bacterial SSU rRNA". It matches the Rfam family "Bacterial small subunit ribosomal RNA", at positions 164 to 639 of the family's 1533-position model. The record is from RNAcentral. Lineage: Bacteria; Pseudomonadati; Pseudomonadota; Gammaproteobacteria; Pseudomonadales; Pseudomonadaceae.
UAUACCGGCAUACGUCCUAUGGGAGAAAGCAGGCGACCUUCGGGCCUUGCGCUAUCAGAUGAGCCUAGGUCGGAUUAGUUAGUUGGUGAGGUAAAUGGCUCAACAAGGCGACGAUCCCUAACUGGUCUGAGAGGAUGAUCAGUCACACGGGAAGUGAGACACGGUCCAGACUCCUACGGGAGGCAGCAGUGGGGAAUAUUGGACGAUGGGCGAAAGCCUGAUCCAGCCAUGCCGCGUGUGUGAAGAAGGUCUUCGGAUUGUAAAGCACUUUAAGUUGGGAGGAAGGGCAGUAAGCGAAUACCUUGCUGUUUUGACGUUACCAACAGAAUAAGCACCGGCUAAGUAUGUGCCAGCAGCCGCGGUAAUACAGAGGGUGCAAGCGUUAAUCGGAAUUACUGGGCGUAAAGCGCGCGUAGGUGGUUCGUUAAGAUUGGAUGUGAAAGCCCCGGGGUCAACCAUGGGAACUGCAUCCGAAGACUGGCGG